CUUGGUAGCGCAGCUAACGCAGGAAGUUGACCGCCUGGGGAGUACGGUCGCAAGAUUAAAACUCAAAGGAAUUGACGGGACUCCGCACAAGCGGUGGAUAUGAUUAAUUCGAUGCAACGCGAAAAACCUUACCUACCCUGACAUGUCUGGAAUCCCGAAGAGAUUUGGGAGUGCUCGCAAGAGAACCGGAACACAGGUGCUGCAUGGCUGUCGUCAGCUCGUGUCGAGAUGCUGGGUUAAGUCCCGCAACGAGCGCAACCCUUGUCAUUAGUUGCUACGAAAGGGCACUGACGAGACUGCCGGUGACAAACCGGAGGAAGGUGGGGAUGACGUCAAGUCCUCAUGGCCCUUAUGGGUAGGGCUUCACACGUCAUACAAUGGUCGGGACAGAGGGCUCGCCAACCCGCGAGGGGGAGCCAAUCCCAGAAACCCGAUCGUAGUCCGGAUCGCAGUCUGCAACUCGACUGCGUGAAGUCGGAAUCGCUAGUAAUCGCGGAUCAGCAUGUCGCGGUGAAUACGUUCCCGGGUCUUGUACACACCGCCCGUCACACCAUGGGAGUGGGUUUUACCAGAAGUAGUUAGCCUAACCGUAAGGAGGGCGAUUACCACGGUAGGAUUCAUGACUGGGGUAGUCGUAACAAGGUAG
Molecule: unclassified non-coding RNA, 646 nt
Filed under: uncultured Bordetella sp.
Lineage: Bacteria; Pseudomonadati; Pseudomonadota; Betaproteobacteria; Burkholderiales; Alcaligenaceae
Description: partial 16S-23S ribosomal RNA intergenic spacer
Rfam family: Bacterial small subunit ribosomal RNA
Source: RNAcentral